GGGACACGUGGUAUCCUGUCUGAAUAUGGGGGGACCAUCCUCCAAGGCUAAAUACUCCUGACUGACCGAUAGUGAACCAGUACCGUGAGGGAAAGGCGAAAAGAACCCCGGCGAGGGGAGUGAAAAAGAACCUGAAACCGUGUACGUACAAGCAGUGGGAGCACAGAGCAAUCUGUGUGACUGCGUACCUUUUGUAUAAUGGGUCAGCGACUUAUAUUCUGUAGCAAGGUUAACCGAAUAGGGGAGCCGAAGGGAAACCGAGUCUUAACUGGGCGUUAAGUUGCAGGGUAUAGACCCGAAACCCGGUGAUCUAGCCAUGGGCAGGUUGAAGGUUGGGUAACACUAACUGGAGGACCGAACCGACUAAUGUUGAAAAAUUAGCGGAUGACUUGUGGCUGGGGGUGAAAGGCCAAUCAAACCGGGAGAUAGCUGGUUCUCCCCGAAAGCUAUUUAGGUAGCGCCUCGUGAAUUCAUCUCCGGGGGUAGAGCACUGUUUCGGCAAGGGGGUCAUCCCGACUUACCAACCCGAUGCAAACUGCGAAUACCGGAGAAUGUUAUCACGGGAGACACACGGCGGGUGCUAACGUCCGUCGUGAAGAGGGAAACAACCCAGACCGCCAGCUAAGGUCCCAAAGUCAUGGUUAAGUGGGAAACGAUGUGGGAAGGCCCAGACAGCCAGGAUGUUGGCUUAGAAGCAGCCAUCAUUUAAAGAAAGCGUAAUAGCUCACUGGUCGAGUCGGCCUGCGCGGAAGAUGUAACGGGGCUAAACCAUGCACCGAAGCUGCGGCAGCGACACUAUGUGUUGUUGGGUAGGGGAGCGU
RNAcentral lists this ribosomal RNA (821 nucleotides) under Escherichia coli. Its description in RNAcentral is "partial 23S ribosomal RNA". It matches the Rfam family "Bacterial large subunit ribosomal RNA", at positions 419 to 1239 of the family's 2925-position model. Lineage: Bacteria; Pseudomonadati; Pseudomonadota; Gammaproteobacteria; Enterobacterales; Enterobacteriaceae. The record is from RNAcentral.